Molecule: ribosomal RNA, 254 nt
Filed under: uncultured bacterium
Lineage: Bacteria
Description: partial 16S ribosomal RNA
Rfam family: Bacterial small subunit ribosomal RNA
Source: RNAcentral
UACGUAGGGUCCAAGCGUUAUCCGGAAUUACUGGGCGUAAAGCGUACGUAGGCGGGAGUUUAAGUGCAAUGCGAAAUCUUGUGACUCAAUCAUAUAGACUGUAUUGCAUACUGGGCACCUAGAGGACGGCAGAGGCAAGUGGAAUUGGUAGUGUAGCAGUGAAAUGCGUAGAUAUUACCAGGAACACCAAUGGCGAAGGCAGCUUGCUGGGCCGUAUCUGACGCUGAGGUACGAAAGCGUGGGGAGCGAACAGG